This 442-nucleotide ribosomal RNA is filed under the name uncultured bacterium. RNAcentral describes it as "partial 16S ribosomal RNA". It matches the Rfam family "Bacterial small subunit ribosomal RNA", at positions 338 to 795 of the family's 1533-position model. The record is from RNAcentral.
CCUACGGGAGGCAGCAGUGGGGGAUAUUGCACAAUGGGGGAAACCCUGAUGCAGCGACGCCGCGUGGGCGAAGAAGUAUUUCGGUAUGUAAAGCCCUAUCAGCAGGGAAGAAGAAAUGACGGUACCUGAGUAAGAAGCACCGGCUAAAUACGUGCCAGCAGCCGCGGUAAUACGUAUGGUGCAAGCGUUAUCCGGAUUUACUGGGUGUAAAGGGAGCGCAGGCGGCACGGCAAGCCUGAUGUGAAAGCCCGCGGCCGAACCGCGGGACUGCAUUGGGAACUACCGGGCUGGAGUGCCGGAGAGGUAGGCGGGAUUCCUAGUGUAGCGGUGAAAUGCGUAGAUAUUAGGAGGAACACCAGUGGCGAAGGCGGCUUACUGGACAGUAACUGACGUUGAGGCUCGAAAGCGUGGGGAGCAAACAGGAUUAGAUACCCCGGUAGUC